This 178-nucleotide ribosomal RNA is filed under the name uncultured bacterium. RNAcentral describes it as "partial 16S ribosomal RNA". It matches the Rfam family "Bacterial small subunit ribosomal RNA", at positions 1322 to 1500 of the family's 1533-position model. The record is from RNAcentral.
GAAGUCGGAAUUGCUAGUAAUGGCAGGUCAGCAUACUGCCGUGAAUACGUUCCCGGGCCUUGUACACACCGCCCGUCACACCAUGAGAGUUGGAAAUACCCGAAGCCUGUGAGCUAACUUAAAGAGGCAGCAGUCGAAGGUAGAGCCAAUGAUUGGGGUGAAGUCGUAACAAGGUAUC